Molecule: ribosomal RNA, 253 nt
Filed under: uncultured bacterium
Lineage: Bacteria
Description: partial 16S ribosomal RNA
Rfam family: Bacterial small subunit ribosomal RNA
Source: RNAcentral
UACGAAGGGGGCGAGCGUUAUUCGGAAUCACUGGGCGUAAAGCGUGCGUAGGUUGUUUUGUAAGUUGGAAGUGAAAGCCCAGGGCUCAACCCUGGAAUUGCUUUCAAAACUACAAGACUUGAAUUCGGGAGAGGAUAGUGGAAUUGUCAGUGUAGCAGUGAAAUGCGUAGAUAUUGACAGGAACACCAGUGGCGUAGGCGACUAUCUGGACCGAUAUUGACACUGAGGCACGAAAGCGUGGGGAGCAAACAGG